This is a regulatory RNA element of Tessaracoccus bendigoensis DSM 12906, 102 nucleotides long. It matches the Rfam family "mraW RNA". The record is from Rfam. Lineage: Bacteria; Bacillati; Actinomycetota; Actinomycetes; Propionibacteriales; Propionibacteriaceae.
UGUGAACUCCACCCGGUGAUACCCGGCCGGCCCGGCCCUGACUUCACUUCCCCGAUGUCAGGUCCGAUCCGGAAGGGAAUCUCCGGGUGACAAGCGGUGAUA